RNAcentral lists this ribosomal RNA (562 nucleotides) under Salmonella enterica subsp. enterica serovar Typhimurium. RNAcentral's name for it is "partial 23S ribosomal RNA". It matches the Rfam family "Bacterial large subunit ribosomal RNA", at positions 706 to 1224 of the family's 2925-position model. Lineage: Bacteria; Pseudomonadati; Pseudomonadota; Gammaproteobacteria; Enterobacterales; Enterobacteriaceae. The record is from RNAcentral.
GGUAUAGACCCGAAACCCGGUGAUCUAGCCAUGGGCAGGUUGAAGGUUGGGUAACACUAACUGGAGGACCGAACCGACUAAUGUUGAAAAAUUAGCGGAUGACCUGUGGCUGGGGGUGAAAGGCCAAUCAAACCGGGAGAUAGCUGGUUCUCCCCGAAAGCUAUUUAGGUAGCGCCUCGUGAAUUCAUCUCCGGGGGUAGAGCACUGUUUCGGCUAGGGGGCCAUCCCGGCUUACCAACCCGAUGCAAACUGCGAAUACCGGAGAAUGUUAUCACGGGAGACACACGGCGGGUGCUAACGUCCGUCGUGAAGAGGGAAACAACCCAGACCGCCAGCUAAGGUCCCAAAGUCAUGGUUAAGUGGGAAACGAUGUGGGAAGGCCCAGACAGCCAGGAUGUUGGCUUAGAAGCAGCCAUCAUUUAAAGAAAGCGUAAUAGCUCACUGGUCGAGUCGGCCUGCGCGGAAGAUGUAACGGGGCUAAACCAUGCACCGAAGCUGCGGCAGCGAACGUAUCACCCAAGACAACUUUACGGAGUUGACGAUUGACGGAGCGAAGCGACGU